Carcharodon carcharias (great white shark) is the source of this 672-nucleotide long non-coding RNA. RefSeq lists it as uncharacterized. The transcript has 2 exons. The record is from RefSeq and is a predicted model, not a curated record. Lineage: Eukaryota; Metazoa; Chordata; Chondrichthyes; Lamniformes; Lamnidae.
GCUUGGAGAGAGAGAGAGAAGAAAAACACCGGAGGGGAAAAAAGGUCAAACGAAAGACGGAGGCGAAUCGGAGACAGAAGGACGGGGGUCGGACAACUGGGAACGUAAAAUAAAAUGAUUCUAGCAUUUUAUUCCUCUAUUUAAAAGAAAAACGACGGCGUUUGCUGUGGGAGCCGGUGUUGGAGGGAAGGGAAGCGAGCCGAGCGGUUGAUUUACGCCGGGCCGGGCGGCAGCUGCAGGGUACAGGCCGUUUCUCCUGCAGGGCCCUUCGCCAGUGGCCCAGUGUGUUCAGAUGAGCGGCGGGGAUGGCUUUAACUGACAACCAUUUGGAGCAGUAGUGGGAUGCUGACUGAUCACUGGAGUGUUUCUACCAUUUUCAGAUUUUACUUUCGAUAAUUUAGCAAUUCACUGUAAAAAUUUUUGAAUGAGAUUACUGACUGGCUUGGGCUGUCAAAAUGUUCAUUGGACUAAUAUUUGUCCACUUACAAAUGUCUGACAAUUGUGUGAUUUGAGUAUUUUACACAUGCCCAUUUAAUUUGCCAUAAAUUUUCAAAGUGGAGAGUCCAUAAAUUUGUCUUUUUGGAGCUGGACUUGCCAUGUACUGCAAGCAGCAUCUUGAAUGUUUAUCUGUACCCUGUGUUGUCAUACACUAAUAAACAUUUUCUGAAAUGA